RNAcentral lists this long non-coding RNA (317 nucleotides) under Mytilus galloprovincialis (Mediterranean mussel). Lineage: Eukaryota; Metazoa; Mollusca; Bivalvia; Mytilida; Mytilidae. The record is from RNAcentral.
GUCGUCAGUUUUCGGAUGUGCUCUCGAUACUUUUAUCGUUCAAUCAAAUGGCGUCUAGACUACAUUGGCUAGAGAUAUAGAGGGAUAGAGGGAUAGUUGAGAUCUCAAAAAACAUCUUGAACCCCGCUGCAUUUUUAAGCCUGUCCAAAGUCAGGAGUCUCCUGCCUUUGUUAGUCUUGUAUGAUUGUUAAUCUUAGUUUCUUGUAUAUAAUUCGGAGUUUAGAAUGACGUCCAUUAUCAUUGAAUUAGUAUACAUAUUUGUUUAGGGGCCAGCUGAAGGACUGCAUUGCCGACCCAUUGGUGGCCUUCGGUUGUUG